This 253-nucleotide ribosomal RNA is filed under the name uncultured bacterium. Its description in RNAcentral is "partial 16S ribosomal RNA". It matches the Rfam family "Bacterial small subunit ribosomal RNA", at positions 524 to 776 of the family's 1533-position model. The record is from RNAcentral.
GACAGAGGGUGCAAACGUUGCUCGGAAUCACUGGGCGUAAAGGGCGUGUAGGCGGGAAGGAAAGUCGGGCGUGAAAUCCCACGGCUCAACCGUGGAAGUGCACUCGAAACUGCAUAGCUAGAGUCCUGGAGAGGAAGGUGGAAUGCUUGGUGUAGAGGUGAAAUGCGCAGAUAUCAGGAGGAACACCAAUUGCGAAGGCAGCUCGCUGGGACGUAACUGACGCUGAGACGCGAAAGCGUGGGGAGCAAACAGG